Non-coding RNA from Carassius carassius (crucian carp), 549 nucleotides. The record is from the annotation of a RefSeq genome assembly. NCBI's taxonomy places the organism in Eukaryota, Metazoa, Chordata, Actinopteri, Cypriniformes, Cyprinidae.
UGACUGAUCUGCAGUGACUUACAGCUCAGAGCACUGAGAGCCUCAACAGAGAACUGAACUGAUCUGAUUGAACAUGGACAGAUGCUUCAUACUGAUUCUCAUUGUGGGAACAGGUUUGGUGGCUGGAGACAGCCUUGAUCCAGAUAAAGGAACAGACAAAAACACUGAAGAAAGACAAACUGUCAAGCUGAGCUGCUCAUAUAGUACAAGUAGUGAAUAUGUACGGCUUUACUGGUACAAACAGUAUCCCAACAGAGAACCUGUGUAUUUAUUACUCAAAAAUGCACGGUCAGCAGUUGAUUACGAACACACCUCUGAUAAUCGGUUCCAGCUGACUGCAGCACAUACAUCCACUGAACUCACUAUCACUGAUGUACGUCUGUCAGAUUCAGCUCUCUAUUAUUGUGCUCUAAGAGUAGUAGCCCAGUGAUACAAAACAUGAGACAUGUCAUACAAAAACCUGAAGCUCUUUUCAUUCUAGUGAAAAACCACAAUCAAAACCACAAUCUAUCCAGCCCUCAAUGUAAUAACGUAUGUGGUCACACCUGU